Molecule: ribosomal RNA, 253 nt
Filed under: uncultured bacterium
Lineage: Bacteria
Description: partial 16S ribosomal RNA
Rfam family: Bacterial small subunit ribosomal RNA
Source: RNAcentral
UACGGGGGGGGCAAGCGUUGUUCGGAAUUACUGGGCGUAAAGGGCUCGUAGGCGGCCAACUAAGUCAGACGUGAAAUCCCUCGGCUCAACCGAGGAACGUCGAUCGAUACUGCUGUUCUUGAGGAUUGCAGAGGAGACUGGAAUUCCCGGUGUAGCGGUGAAAUGUGUAGAGAUCGGGAGGAACACCGGUGGCGAAGGCGGGUCUCUGGGCAAUUCCUGACGCUGAGGCGCGAAAGCGUGGGGAGCAAACGGG